This 472-nucleotide ribosomal RNA is filed under the name uncultured organism. Its description in RNAcentral is "partial 16S ribosomal RNA". It matches the Rfam family "Bacterial small subunit ribosomal RNA", at positions 332 to 796 of the family's 1533-position model. The record is from RNAcentral.
UACACUCCUACGGGAGGCAGCAGUGGGGAAUUUUGGACAAUGGGCGAAAGCCUGAUCCAGCAAUGCAGCGUGAGUGAAGAAGGCCUUCGGGUUGUAAAGCUCUUUUGUCAGGGAAGAAACGGUGAGAGCUAAUAUCUCUUGCUAAUGACGGUACCUGAAGAAUAAGCACCGGCUAACUACGUGCCAGCAGCCGCGGUAAUACGUAGGGUGCAAGCGUUAAUCGGAAUUAUUGGGCGUAAAGCGUGCGCAGGCGGUUUUGUAAGUCUGAUGUGAAAUCCCCGGGCUCAACCUGGGAAUUGCAUUUGAGACUGCAAUGCUAGAAUCUGGCAGAGGGGGGUAGAAUUCCACGUGUAGCAGUGAAAUGCGUAGAUAUGUGGAGGAACACCGAUGGCGAAGGCAGCCCCCUGGGUCAAGAUUGACGCUGAUGCACGAAAGCGUGGGGAGCAAACAGGAUUAGAUACCCGUGUAGUCC